UACGUAGGAUGCGAGCGUUGUCCGGAAUUACUGGGCGUAAAGAGCUCGUAGGUGGUUUGUCGCGUUGUUCGUGAAAACUCACAGCUUAACUGUGGGCGUGCGGGCGAUACGGGCAGACUGGAGUACUGCAGGGGAGACUGGAAUUCCUGGUGUAGCGGUGGAAUGCGCAGAUAUCAGGAGGAACACCGGUGGCGAAGGCGGGUCUCUGGGCCAUUACUGACGCUGAGGAGCGAAAGCGUGGGGAGCGAACAGG
Molecule: ribosomal RNA, 253 nt
Filed under: uncultured bacterium
Lineage: Bacteria
Description: partial 16S ribosomal RNA
Rfam family: Bacterial small subunit ribosomal RNA
Source: RNAcentral